UAUUGGACAAUGGGCGAAAGCCUGAUCCAGCGACGCCGCGUGGGUGAAGAAGGCCUGCGGGUUGUAAAGCCCUUUCGGUAGGGAAGAAAAGCCUCGACCUAACACGUCGGGGUAUUGACGUAACCUACUAAAGAAGCCCCGGCUAACUCCGUGCCAGCAGCCGCGGUAAGACGGAGGGGGCUAGCGUUGUUCGGAAUUACUGGGCGUAAAGCGCACGUAGGCGGUGGUUCAAGUUGGGGGUGAAAUCCCGGGGCUCAACCCCGGAAUUGCCUCCAAGACUGGAUUGCUGGAGUCCGGAAGAGGAGAGCGGAAUUCCCAGUGUAGAGGUGAAAUUCGUAGAUAUUGGGAAGAACACCAGUGGCGAAGGCGGCUCUCUGGUCCGGGACUGACGCUGAGGUGCGAAAGCGUGGGGAGCAAAC
This 419-nucleotide ribosomal RNA is filed under the name uncultured bacterium. RNAcentral describes it as "bacterial SSU rRNA". It matches the Rfam family "Bacterial small subunit ribosomal RNA", at positions 362 to 773 of the family's 1533-position model. The record is from RNAcentral.